GACGAACGCUGGCGGCGUGCUUAACACAUGCAAGUCGAGCGGUAAGGCCCUUUCGGGGGUACACGAGCGGCGAACGGGUGAGUAACACGUGGGUGACCUGCCCUCAGCUCUGGGAUAAGCCUGGGAAACCGGGUCUAAUACCGGAUAUGACUCCAUGACGCAUGUUGUGGGGUGGAAAGCCUUGUGCGGCUGAGGAUGGGCCCGCGGCCUAUCAGCUUGUUGGUGGGGUGAUGGCCUACCAAGGCGACGACGGGUAGCCGGCCUGAGAGGGCGACCGGCCACACUGGGACUGAGACACGGCCCAGACUCCUACGGGAGGCAGCAGUGGGGAAUCUUGCGCAAUGGGCGAAAGCCUGACG
Molecule: ribosomal RNA, 359 nt
Filed under: uncultured bacterium
Lineage: Bacteria
Description: bacterial SSU rRNA
Rfam family: Bacterial small subunit ribosomal RNA
Source: RNAcentral